GUGGGGAAUCUUGCGCAAUGGGCGAAAGCCUGACGCAGCCAUGCCGCGUGAAUGAUGAAGGUCUUAGGAUUGUAAAAUUCUUUCACCGGGGACGAUAAUGACGGUACCCGGAGAAGAAGCCCCGGCUAACUUCGUGCCAGCAGCCGCGGUAAUACGAAGGGGGCUAGCGUUGCUCGGAAUUACUGGGCGUAAAGGGCGCGUAGGCGGAUCGUUACGUCAGGGGUGAAAUCCCAGAGCUCAACUCUGGAACUGCCCUUGAUACUGGCGAUCUUGAGUGUGAGAGAGGUAUGUGGAACUCCGAGUGUAGAGGUGAAAUUCGUAGAUAUUCGGAAGAACACCAGUGGCGAAGGCGACAUACUGGCUCAUUACUGACGCUGAGGCGCGAAAGCGUGGGGAGCAAACAGGAUUAGAUACCCUGGUAGUCC
RNAcentral lists this ribosomal RNA (425 nucleotides) under uncultured bacterium. Its description in RNAcentral is "partial 16S ribosomal RNA". It matches the Rfam family "Bacterial small subunit ribosomal RNA", at positions 354 to 796 of the family's 1533-position model. The record is from RNAcentral.